UACAGAGGCCCCGAGCGUUAAUCGGAAUCACUGGGCUUAAAGGGUGCGUAGGCGGGUCAGUAAGCGCUUUGUGAAAUCCCACAGCUCAACUGUGGAACUGCAGGGCGAACUGCUGAUCUUGAGGAAGCUAGAGGCUGGUAGAACGAUAGGUGGAGCGGUGGAAUGCGUAGAGAUCUAUCGGAAUGCCGAAAGUGAAGACAGCCAGCUGGGGCUUUCCUGACGCUAAAGCACGAAAGCGUGGGGAGCAAACCGG
This 253-nucleotide ribosomal RNA is filed under the name uncultured bacterium. Its description in RNAcentral is "partial 16S ribosomal RNA". It matches the Rfam family "Bacterial small subunit ribosomal RNA", at positions 524 to 776 of the family's 1533-position model. The record is from RNAcentral.